AGAACUUAUAGGUAAGACGAAUUUUGGGUGGAAGAUUUUGUGGAUGGGUUGGUGUUCCCUCCCACCACUGGAAGUCCUACCCGGCUACAGGAGGUGGCUACUUCAGCCACUGGUGAAAGAACAAAUGAAAGAACCCCAAAAUGGGGAGACUCUCGCACCAGUCACGGAAUGACGGCGAGUCCCAGGAAACACGAGAAGCCGAUCUUGAUGUAACAACAAGAGGCAGCUUUAUUAAUGAGAUCUCGGGCCAACACCGAGGUCUUGGGCUGACACGACACGCAUCUCACGCUGGAGAUAGAGGAGCCGACCACGAGCCUCUAAAGGCAGGGGUUUAUAUAGGGAAAGCCAGGGGAUUUUGUGAGGUUACACAUGAUUGGCUGAUUCAAAUGGUGCACAGUUACUUUUGGCUCGGAGUUACAUCAGCAAAGCAUACGUGCAACCUAGUAUCUUAGCAAUGUGGGUAGGGUGACUCAUCUCACUCAGCAGGGGGAUGACCCAUCCUCAGGGAGUGAAGGAAGGGGAGGGGGCGGCUCUUUUUGAAAUUUAACUCUUCACUGGUAAGUUAUGUAUUAUAUAGAAAAUAACUCCAUUCCCAUCCAUAUGUAAGCAGAUUUAAUUCAAAUAAAUUGUUAUUGGAUUC
This is a non-coding RNA of Rattus norvegicus (Norway rat), 640 nucleotides long. Lineage: Eukaryota; Metazoa; Chordata; Mammalia; Rodentia; Muridae. The record is from RefSeq and is a predicted model, not a curated record.